This is a non-coding RNA of Cyprinus carpio (common carp), 823 nucleotides long. NCBI's taxonomy places the organism in Eukaryota, Metazoa, Chordata, Actinopteri, Cypriniformes, Cyprinidae. The record is from the annotation of a RefSeq genome assembly.
GCCCAUCAUCAUAUGUGUGAGAAGAUAUUUCAGUUCAGGAAGGGUUUUUUCCACUGUAAUGAUAUUUUGCAUUGGCAGCUCAUGCCUCAGUGCUCUGAGUGUUUAUAGUCCUGUGAACACUUUCAAAAGGUCCAAGAACUGUCCGCUCUAAAACACAAGCCAAUAUGAUUCUGUUCAUCUGGGCAUUUUACUGCAUCCAAGGUUCUUUUGGGCAGGUUGUUGUGACUCAGUCUGAUGUUAAAUCAGUUCAGCUCGGUCAAACAGUCUCCAUUGAUUGUAAGGUCAACACUGCAGUUUAUAGGUAUCCAACAGGCUCAGUAUCCAAAGAUUACUACAUCUCCUGGUAUCUUCAGAGGCCAGAUGAACCCCCUAAACUCCUUAUAUAUUUCACAACAAUGAAGCCUUCAAGUGCUCCAUCUAGAAUCAGUGGGGGAGGCAGUUUUCACUCUGGAGGAAAUGGUCUUGAUUUCAGCCUGAACAUAAAUGAUGCCCAGGUUGAAGAUGCAGGAGAUUAUUACUGUCAGAGUUACCAUGAGAUCAGUGGUAAAGCAGUGUUCACACAGUGAAAAAAUGCUGUACGAAAACCUCCCGUGGUCAGGUUACCGACAAGUUGCUGAUACGAGACCUACAGGUGCUGAAAACAAAACAAAAACAGGGCUUUGCAGUGAGAUACACACAGAUGUGCAUGUUCUUGUAUAAUUGAAGUAAUAUUCCAACCCAGGUCUUCGCAUCAAUUGAAUAUUAUUACUGGAAUUCCUUAUGUUCUAUGAUAUUUCUCAUACUUUCACAUAUAGAAAAUUAUACUAAAUCAAUACCCAUAUGU